CAUGUUUGCUCUAGGAAGAAUCUUGGAAGAGUAUAGUUUGGGAUUUUUUCUCUUCUAAAACUCAAAAGGAAAAGAAAUUAAAAAUGGUCAUGGUUUACUCACCCUCAUGUCUUUCUAUAACUAUGACUUUCUUCUGUGGAAUAUGAUUUAUGUUGUUAUUUUUAUUCUAUACAAUUAAAAUCUGUGGACUCCGAUGUUGCUUGGUUCUGUGUUCCUCGAAAUAUCCUUUUUCCUUCCACAGAAGAGUCAUUUGGGUUUGAAUGACAUGAGGGGGAAUAAAUGAUGACACUGUUUUCAUUUAUGGGUAAACUAUCCCAAUAAGCAAUUUGCUCUGUAUGUAAUUUGAAAAGAGAUUAAAUGGAUUUCAGUUGUGCUUUCAUGUAGGGAGUGAUGAAGAAAAAUCCAAGGGAAAGAGCAACCACAUAAUUGAAACAGAAAUAGAAGAAAUGGAAAGAAUAGGGAAUCAGUGAGUGAGGAAACGAGACAGUGAGCGAGUCGGUGAAUGAGUGCGAGGGAGGGAGGGAGAGAUAGGCAGAAGGAACUUGCUGCCCCUGGUUGGUGUUGUGUAAGACUUGGCUGGCUGUAGCAGAAUAACACUCUUAUUCUCUCAGUGCUUUGAACUCUGGUACCCUACAGCUCCGACCACCCCUCUCUGCAGCAGCAAGAACUCACAUUGAGGCGUGCACAGCUUCUUCAGCUGUCUACAAAAUGUCCAGAAGAUGGCGCCAUAGACCAGUGUGAGUUAUUGGCCCUGCUGGUACUAAAAAGAUGUUACUGUAUCUGAGAUCCACACGUUUUUGCCCCACAUUGUGUUUAAGAAAUGAAUAGGCUUGUGACCUGUAGGGGCAUUAAACUGUUAAAGGAGGCUUAUUUGGACAAUCGACAUGAAUUUCUCUUAUCUAGAGAGAUAAUUGUUGUCUUUCUUUCAGCCUGUGAAGUUGCUGUCUGACCUGCAUUCGGCAGUCGUGUUUUCCUGUUGGUCUUUUGUGACACAGAACAAAUGUACUUUGUUGGAUGAUGUAAUGGCACGCCUCAGUCAUAUGAUACACUCUGUGUAUAUAAUAUAUGUCAUCUCUGUGUAAUUUUCUGUGAACAGAAUUGAAUACAGUUUUUGUGCAACUUUGUACAAUGUUUUUUCUUGAACACAUACAUCACUGAAAGUGAAAAUACAGUUAUAGUUUGUCGGUUGGUUCUGGCAUAUCCAAGUGAUCAAGAAAUCUUUUUCUUGCCAGUUCAUAGAUUAUAUUUUGCAUAAGGAAAAUUACCACAAAAAAAGUACUACUAAUAAUUUAUUUUCAUGCACGUUUGGUGCUUACAUUGCAGAUACACUAAUUAUUAGUGUACAGAGUCAUUACAUUUUAAUUUGACCUAGUUCAUUUUGUGGUCACUUAGAAUUAACCAUCUUUAGAGUUUUUUUGUUUGAUGCUUUAUUUAUUUAUUUUCCACCCAGAAUAGUUUGAGAUUGCUAUAAUGGAGAAAAAUGAUUAUAUUCUAAAUAUUAUGAAAUACAAUUGUAAGUACGCCUAAUGGUUGCAUUAGUUAAGUUGAACUUAUUUUCUCCUGAUAUUAAUUAUUUCUUUUUUACACAGUAUUAGGAAUUAAAGGGCAAAUGAGCUUAAUUUAUGUGAAAAUAAUGUCAUAAGCUAAAACCUACAAUGAUCAUCAUAGGCUUUACUGUCUUCAUGGAAAAUAUAGUCAUAUUUUAUCUCUUUUUAAGGUGAAUUAAGGCCUGGACAUUUUGCCUAUUCAUUAUCACGUCAGAACUCAUUUAGUGCUAUUUAACACAUUCACUUUCACAACAAAAUGUACAUUUUUUUUAUCUGUUUUUUUAAUGUUAUGUGAGCAUCAAUGACAAUGAAAAGAGCAUCAUUUUGAUUAAGUGAUUGAUGACACGUUUAGUGUUCCUUGUCCAGCAGAGGGUGAAGGGUAUAAUUAUUUAAUUAUUUGAUGAUAAUUCAGUCCCACUCUUGUGGAGUCACUCUUUCCUUAUGGAUCUGGCAGUCCAUCAGGAAUAUGGAAAGGAUACAUAAAACUGAUGAAAAUGUUCAAUAUAAAUUUAUGGAGUUGUAAGUUUUUACUGGCCUCUAAUGAAUGACAGGUGACCAUGUCGCCAGCUGCAAAAGACCGUUACUUACCAAACAAGACUUUUCUUUACAGAGUUUUCGUGAUUUGUUUCUGAUGGCUGUUUUGUCUAGUAUCUCAGACUUGUGUGAGUCACAGUUCGACCCCAGCAUCUCUCUUUGUGUCUCUCUCAGUGGGAGGCAGGACCACGUGUAUUGUACCCCUCGCAGGAAAGUCAGUUGUUAUAACUUCAACCAGCGGGCACUUUUAUGGAACUUUGAACCAGUCCGCUGACCACUAUUUUAUUUGCGUUGUAAAAUAUAAUACUUUGUCCCACUUACUUUUUAUUUCAGAAGUAUUGAGUCAACUUUAAGUUAAUUCGAUAUUAUGUAAAUCAAUAUAAUAUGUGUGUGUGUGUGUGUGUGUGUGUGUUUAUACUCAAAUUAAGAAUAAACUAUAGAUUUACAGUAAAAUGUGGUAAAUUCCAUACUGACAAAACAGCAAUGAUAACAACUAUUAUUGACAGAAAUCAUUUUUUUUUUUUUUAAAUGUACUACUGUAAUACAUGAUGGCUUUGUAUUUCAGUGUUUACACUUGAAUAAAAGCCAUCGUUUAGAGAAUCCCUCAUACAAGGGUGUGUGUGGCAGUUUUCUUCCAGCUAUUUACACAGUCAGUGUGUUCCUACAAUAUCAUUUUGCCAUAAUCAACUUUGAAACACAUUUGUGUAUGCAAGGCAAAGAAUUAUUAGUGUAUUUAAUCAGUGUGAUUUAAGCCUCUCGUGGAUUUGAAAUAACGCACCUGGCUGCACUGCAUUUCUCUAAAUAAAGUUUUACAACUGA
Molecule: long non-coding RNA, 2900 nt
Organism: Cyprinus carpio (common carp)
Lineage: Eukaryota; Metazoa; Chordata; Actinopteri; Cypriniformes; Cyprinidae
Exons: 3
Source: RefSeq, a predicted model, not a curated record